ACAUGCAAGUCGAGGGGCAGCACGGGAGUAGCAAUACAACGUGGUGGCGACCGGCGCACGGGUGAGUAACGCGUAUGCAACCUACCUAUCAGAGGGGAAUAACCCGGCGAAAGUCGGACUAAUACCGCAUAAAACAGGGGCACCGCAUGGUGAUAUUUGUUAAAGAAAUUCGCUGAUAGAUGGGCAUGCGUUCCAUUAGGUAGUUGGUGAGGUAACGGCUCACCAAGCCGACGAUGGAUAGGGGAACUGAGAGGUUGGUCCCCCACACUGGUACUGAGACACGGACCAGACUCCUACGGGAGGCAGCAGUGAGGAAUAUUGGUCAAUGGGCGAGAGCCUGAACCAGCCAAGUCCGCGUGAAGGAAGAAGGAUCUAUGGUUCGUAAACUUCUUUUGCAGGGGAAUAAAGUGCAGGACGUGUCCUGUUUUGUAUGUACCCUGAGAAUAAGGAUCGGCUAACUCCGUGCCAGCCGCCGC
This 476-nucleotide ribosomal RNA is filed under the name uncultured bacterium. Its description in RNAcentral is "bacterial SSU rRNA". It matches the Rfam family "Bacterial small subunit ribosomal RNA", at positions 53 to 518 of the family's 1533-position model. The record is from RNAcentral.